RNAcentral lists this unclassified non-coding RNA (310 nucleotides) under Hevea brasiliensis (rubber tree). The record is from RNAcentral. Lineage: Eukaryota; Viridiplantae; Streptophyta; Magnoliopsida; Malpighiales; Euphorbiaceae.
AAACAAUUUUCCUCACUGUUCUGCAGGCAAAAGUAGCCAACAAGAUGGUAAAGGUGAACAUGAACUGAUAACGAUGCAUACCAAAUAUUAAUAACAUCUACAUGGAUCUGCCGAUGAUAGAUAGAACUAGAGGCACAAUAAUAUCAUACAAAAAAUUAUGGGUUCCCCUAAAGCAUGGACAAAGCCUACUAACAAGAGCAAGAAAAAAUGGCUAUAUUACAUGGUUUGACUUACAAACAAAUGCCAGGAUAUAAGGAACUGUAAAAGGGCCAAAAGUUGAAAACAGAUUAGACCUAAAUUGACUUGGAGG